Molecule: ribosomal RNA, 301 nt
Filed under: uncultured bacterium
Lineage: Bacteria
Description: partial 16S ribosomal RNA
Rfam family: Bacterial small subunit ribosomal RNA
Source: RNAcentral
CAGUCGCCGCGGGAAUACGAGGGGGGCUAGCGUUGCUCGGAAUUACUGGGCGUAAAGGGCGCGUAGGCGGACAGUUCAGUCGGGGGUGAAAGCCCGGGGCUCAACCUCGGAAUUGCCUUCGAUACUGGCUGUCUUGAGUAUGAGAGAGGUGUGUGGAACUCCGAGUGUAGAGGUGAAAUUCGUAGAUAUUCGGAAGAACACCAGUGGCGAAGGCGACACACUGGCUCAUUACUGACGCUGAGGCGCGAAAGCGUGGGGAGCAAACAGGAUUAGAUACCCCAGUAGUCCCUGUCUCUUAUAC